GAUGAACGCUGGCGGCGUGCCUAAUACAUGCAAGUCGAGCGAACAGACGAGGAGCUUGCUCCUCUGACGUUAGCGGCGGACGGGUGAGUAACACGUGGAUAACCUACCUAUAAGACUGGGAUAACUUCGGGAAAACGGAGCUAAUACCGGAUAAUAUAUUGAACCGCAUGGUUCAAUAGUGAGAGACGGUUUUGCUGUCACUUAUAGAUGGAUCCGCGCCGCAUUAGCUAGUUGGUAAGGUAACGGCUUACCAAGGCAACGAUGCGUAGCCGACCUGAGAGGGUGAUCGGCCACACUGGAACUGAGACACGGUCCAGACUCCUACGGGAGGCAGCAGUAGGGAAUCUUCCGCAAUGGGCGAAAGCCUGACGGAGCAACGCCGCGUGAGUGAUGAAGGUCUUCGGAUCGUAAAACUCUGUUAUUAGGGAAGAACAAAUGUGUAAGUAACUAUGCACGUCUUGACGGUACCUAAUCAGAAAGCCACGGCUAACUACGUG
RNAcentral lists this ribosomal RNA (497 nucleotides) under uncultured bacterium. Its description in RNAcentral is "partial 16S ribosomal RNA". It matches the Rfam family "Bacterial small subunit ribosomal RNA", at positions 28 to 507 of the family's 1533-position model. The record is from RNAcentral.